UACAGAGGGUGCGAGCGUUAAUCGGAAUUACUGGGCGUAAAGCGCACGUAGGCGGCUUGGUAUGUCGGGUGUGAAAUCCCCGGGCUCAAUCUGGGAACUGCAUCCGAAACUGCCCUGCUCGAGUAUGGGAGAGGGAAGUGGAAUUUCCGGUGUAGCGGUGAAAUGCGUAGAUAUCGGAAGGAACAUCAGUGGCGAAGGCGACUUCCUGGACCAAUACUGACGCUCAGGUGCGAAAGCGUGGGGAGCAAACAGG
This 253-nucleotide ribosomal RNA is filed under the name uncultured bacterium. RNAcentral describes it as "partial 16S ribosomal RNA". It matches the Rfam family "Bacterial small subunit ribosomal RNA", at positions 524 to 776 of the family's 1533-position model. The record is from RNAcentral.